GUACUCGGGGGAUAACAGCCUGAUACCGCCCAAGAGUUCAUAUCGACGCCGGUGUUUGGCACCUCGAUGUCGGCUCAUCACAUCCUGGGCUGAAAGUAGGUCCCAAGGGUAUGGCUGUUCGCCAUUAAANGUGGUACGCGAGCUGGGUUUAGAACGUCGUGAGACAGUUCGGUCCCUAUCUGCCGUGGGCGUAGGAGAAUUGGUUGGGGCUGCUCCUAGUACGAGAGGACCGGAGUGGACGCACCACUGGUGUUCCGGUUGUGUCGCCAGACGCAUUGCCGGGUAGCUAAGUGCGGAAGAGAUAAGUGCUGAAAGCAUCUAAGCACGAAACUUGCCAAGAGAUGAGUUCUCCCAAUCUAAGAGAUAGUAAGGGUUGUUGUAGACUACGACGUAGAUAGGUCUGGUGUAUAAGUGUAGUGAUACAUUGAGCUAACAGAUACUAAUUGCCCGAGAGGCUUAACU
Molecule: ribosomal RNA, 462 nt
Filed under: Haemophilus influenzae 3655
Lineage: Bacteria; Pseudomonadati; Pseudomonadota; Gammaproteobacteria; Pasteurellales; Pasteurellaceae
Description: bacterial LSU rRNA
Rfam family: Bacterial large subunit ribosomal RNA
Source: RNAcentral